ACUCCUACGGGAGGCAGCAGUGGAGGAAUAUUGGACAAUGGACGCAAGUCUGAUCCAGCCAUGCCGCGUGCAGGAAGAAUGCCCUAUGGUUGUAAACUGCUUUUAUUUGGGAAUAAACCCCUUCUCGUGAGGAGGGCUGAAGGUACCAAACGAAUAAGCACCGGCUAACUCCGUGCCAGCAGCCGCGGUAAUACGGAGGGGUGCAAGCGUUAUCCGGAAUCAUUGGGUUUAAAGGGGUCCGCAGGCGGACGUAUAAGUCAGUGGUGAAAGCCUACAGCUUAACUGUAGAACUGCCAUUGAUACUGUAUGUCUUGAAUUCGGUCGAAGUGGGCGGAAUGUGUCAUGUAGCGGUGAAAUGCAUAGAUAUGACACAGAACACCGAUAGCGAAGGCAGCUCACUAGGCCUGAAAUUGACGCUCA
RNAcentral lists this ribosomal RNA (420 nucleotides) under uncultured bacterium. RNAcentral's name for it is "bacterial SSU rRNA". It matches the Rfam family "Bacterial small subunit ribosomal RNA", at positions 335 to 749 of the family's 1533-position model. The record is from RNAcentral.